RNAcentral lists this microRNA precursor (62 nucleotides) under Python bivittatus (Burmese python). RNAcentral's name for it is "Pbv-Mir-430-o36_pre stem-loop". Lineage: Eukaryota; Metazoa; Chordata; Lepidosauria; Squamata; Pythonidae. The record is from RNAcentral.
ACGCAGACAGUGGCACUUUCUUGUAGUAAUAAAUUCAAUUAAGUGCUAUAUUGUUUGUGUGG